AGUGAACGCUGGCGGUAGGCCUAACACAUGCAAGUCGAACGGCAGCACAGUAAGAGCUUGCUCUUACGGGUGGCGAGUGGCGGACGGGUGAGGAAUACAUCGGAAUCUACUUUUUCGUGGGGGAUAACGUAGGGAAACUUACGCUAAUACCGCAUACGACCUACUGGUGAAAGCAGGGGAUCUUCGGACCUUGCGCGAUUGAAUGAGCCGAUGUCGGAUUAGCUAGUUGGCGGGGUAAAGGCCCACCAAGGCGACGAUCCGUAGCUGGUCUGAGAGGAUGAACAGCCACACUGGAAGUGAGACACGGUCCAGACUCCUACGGGAGGCAGCAGUGGGGAAUAUUGGACAAUGGGCGCAAGCCUGAUCCAGCCAUACCGCGUGGGUGAAGAAGGCCUUCGGGUUGUAAAGCCCUUUUGUUGGGAAAGAAAAGCAGCAGGUUAAUACCCCGCUGUUCUGACGGUACCCAAAGAAUAGGCACCGGCUAACUUCGUG
This 492-nucleotide ribosomal RNA is filed under the name uncultured bacterium. Its description in RNAcentral is "partial 16S ribosomal RNA". It matches the Rfam family "Bacterial small subunit ribosomal RNA", at positions 29 to 507 of the family's 1533-position model. The record is from RNAcentral.